UCAUUUCUUUCACCACAGGCCAGAGCAUGCUGCUUCCUUCGCUCAUGGCUUUCCCUUUCAUGGUGCAGCAGACUAGCCAGAUAGUUGGAGUUUGAUACCUAAGUCAAUGCCAGCCAUAGCUGAGGGUACAGGUGGCUGUGCAAAGUCAUUUUCAGGAUGUUGAUGCAAGACUGAGAAAUGGGAAACCUGCCAGUGCCUAUUCCAGCUUUGACCUGGCUGGGGCAGCCAUGGGUCAAGGCGUCUCUGUAGUCCUGGUUUCUACCAUCAUGAGGAAGGGGAGCUGCAAGAACCAUCUAGGCAGGCACCCAGGACUGUGUCAGGAAGACCUGGGUUUGAGCCCUGCCUCCAUCAAUCUCAAGAUAUGGAACCUCAGGAAAGGAAGGAGAGGCACUGCUGAGGAUAUGCGCACCUGUGAGGGUAUCUCCACCCAGUUCUUCACCUGUAAGUCAUUAUUACCCUGGACUCAAAACUGUUUGGAGAUUUGGCUGGGCUCCGAGUGAGCCUUCAGUUAGGAAGCUACAGCAGAAUCUACUGAAGCAAGCUGCAGAUUGCUGGUGCUUGACGUUGCACCAUUUCAGUUUGGUUUCAUUUUCCUCCCCAGCUGGCUCUUGAGAUACUCGGCUAGAUUGCAAACCAAUGUUUGUAAGUAUCUCUCCUAGGAUCACUCAGAGUUUUGUGGCCCCUGGGCA
Miniopterus natalensis is the source of this 689-nucleotide non-coding RNA. Lineage: Eukaryota; Metazoa; Chordata; Mammalia; Chiroptera; Miniopteridae. The record is from RefSeq and is a predicted model, not a curated record.